CUUGGUCAUUUAGAGGAAGUAAAAGUCGUAACAAGGUUUCCGUAGGUGAACCUGCGGAAGGAUCAUUAUCGUAGGGCUUCGGCCCUGUCGAGAUAGAACCCUUGCCUUUUUGAGUACCUUUUCGUUUCCUCGGCAGGCUCGCCUGCCAAUGGGGACCCCAAAAAACACUUUGCAGUACCUGUAAACAGUCUGAACAAACUUUAAAAAUUAAAACUUUCAACAACGGAUCUCUUGGUUCUGGCAUCGAUGAAGAACGCAGCGAAAUGCGAUAAGUAGUGUGAAUUGCAGAAUUCAGUGAAUCAUCGAAUCUUUGAACGCACAUUGCGCCCUUUGGUAUUCCUUAGGGCAUGCCUGUUCGAGCGUCAUUUAAACCUUCAAGCUCAGCUUGGUGUUGGGUGACUGUCCGCUUGCGGACUCGCCUCAAAAUGAUUGGCGGCCGGUACUUUUGGCUUCGAGCGCAGCAGAAACGCGAACUCGAGGCCUGUGUGCUGGCUCCCAGAAGCUAUCUUCACAAUUUUGACCUCGGAUCAGGUAGGGAUACCCGCUGAACUUAAGCAUAUCAAUAAGCGGAGGA
This 574-nucleotide ribosomal RNA is filed under the name uncultured fungus. RNAcentral describes it as "eukaryotic LSU rRNA". The stretch from base 212 to 365 matches the Rfam family "5.8S ribosomal RNA". The record is from RNAcentral. Lineage: Eukaryota; Fungi.